CAUCGGUGACAGGUGGUGCAUGGUUGUCGUCAGCUCGUGUCGUGAGAUGUUGGUUAAGUCCCGCAACGAGCGCAACCCCUAUUGUUAGUUGCCAUCAUUCAGUUGGGCACUCUAGCGAGACUGCCGGUAAUAAACCGGAGGAAGGUGGGGAUGACGUCAAAUCAUCAUGCCCCUUAUGACCUGGGCUACACACGUGCUACAAUGGUUGGUACAACGAGUUGCGAGUCGGUGACGGCGAGCUAAUCUCUUAAAGCCGAUCUCAGUUCGGAUUGUAGGCUGCAACUCGCCUACAUGAAGUCGGAAUCGCUAGUAAUCGCGGAUCAGCACGCCGCGGUGAAUACGUUCCCGGGCCUU
RNAcentral lists this ribosomal RNA (354 nucleotides) under uncultured Streptococcus sp. Its description in RNAcentral is "bacterial SSU rRNA". It matches the Rfam family "Bacterial small subunit ribosomal RNA", at positions 1026 to 1382 of the family's 1533-position model. The record is from RNAcentral. Lineage: Bacteria; Bacillati; Bacillota; Bacilli; Lactobacillales; Streptococcaceae.